CAUGCACCGGUGGGGUCCCUCAGCCUGGCCUGUGCCCUCUCACAAUACGGGACCCUCGGGGGAUGUCAGACUGCUGUUUCAGCCUGAUCCCCACAGGCCAGGCUGAGGGACCCCACUGGUGCACG
Molecule: non-coding RNA, 125 nt
Organism: Myotis lucifugus (little brown bat)
Lineage: Eukaryota; Metazoa; Chordata; Mammalia; Chiroptera; Vespertilionidae
Source: Rfam